This 347-nucleotide ribosomal RNA is filed under the name Pseudo-nitzschia delicatissima. Its description in RNAcentral is "LSU rRNA". It matches the Rfam family "Eukaryotic large subunit ribosomal RNA", at positions 185 to 544 of the family's 3401-position model. The record is from RNAcentral. Lineage: Eukaryota; Bacillariophyta; Bacillariophyceae; Bacillariales; Bacillariaceae.
GUUCCUUGGAAAAGGACAGCUGAGAGGGUGAAACUCCCGUCCGCCUGGUAGAAUGAGUCUUUGUCAACGAGUCGAGUUGUUUGGGAUUGCAGCUCUAAUUUGGUGGUAAAUUCCAUCUAAAGCUAAAUAUUGGUGGGAGACCGAUAGCGUACAAGUACCGUGAGGGAAAGAUGCAAAGAACUUUGAAAAGAGAGUUAAAGAGUACCUGAAAUUGCUGAAACGGAAGCGAAGGAAACCAGUGUUUGUUGGUUCAUAUUUCCCUGGCCACUUGUGGUUUGGGCGCUGUGAGCUUGCGUGGGUUUGCUUUGGUUGAUCCCUUUGGAAGAGCGCAGUCAGAGUUGAUGUCU